RNAcentral lists this ribosomal RNA (451 nucleotides) under uncultured bacterium. RNAcentral describes it as "partial 16S ribosomal RNA". It matches the Rfam family "Bacterial small subunit ribosomal RNA", at positions 28 to 507 of the family's 1533-position model. The record is from RNAcentral.
GAUGAACGCUGGCGGCGUGCCUAACACAUGCAAGUCGAGCGGCAGCGAGGGGUGCUUGCACCCUGUCGGCGAGCGGCGGACGGCUGAGUAACGCGUGGGAACGUGCCCCAAAGUGAGGAGUAACUGCCCGAAAGGGUAGCUAAUACCGCAUAUUAUCUUCGGAUCAAAGGAUUUAUCCGCUUUGGGAGCGGCUCGCGUCGGAUUAGGUAGUUGGUGAGGUAAUGGCUCACCAAGCCGACGAUCCGUAGCUGGUCUGAGAGGAUGACCAGCCAGACUGGAACUGAGACACGGUCCAGACUCCUACGGGAGGCAGCAGUGAGGAAUCUUCCACAAUGGGCGAAAGCCUGAUGGAGCAACGCCGCGUGCAGGACGAAGGCCUUCGGGUUGUAAACUGCUUUUAUAAGUGAGGAAUAUGACGGUAACUUAUGAAUAAGGAUCGGCUAACUACGUG